UUAUAAAUUAUGAGAUGAAAUUCCAAUCCAAAUUGCAAGUGUCACUAUUUGAACGUUUCCGUUUAUUUGAAUGAUGUUCAAAUAAAAUGAAUAUAUAUUUCAGGUUCUAUAUGAAUCACCUGAAAGUUCGAAGCAGGCUACAUGCAACAAAUCUCUGAACAUCUAAAUUUGGGAUCCGAGGGCAUGAUCAGCAAGCAUCGACAACGCAUCGAAAUCAGCAGAGAGUAGUGGUGCAUUGCAGAUAAUCAGUACCAUCCAUGGAAAUUAUUGCACAGGGCACACGUCUACACAAAGGAGGAAAAGACACAAGGUUUUGCAGAUCAAAUAAGAAGGAUGUUGGGGAGUCAUUUUUGACAUGAAGUUUCCUGAAGCCAGCGAUGGUCAUGUCGCUGUUACGAACAUCGUCCUUUGGGGAUAUUUACCCACAAGAAACAUCUGCGAAGUACAUGCGCUUCGUGAAAGACUUGAAACUUAAGUUAUCUUAAGUAUGGAAGUAUGCUUCAAUUUGCUACACGACAGUUUGUAAUGUUUCAUGAAGAACUCUGACUCAUAAGUGACUUGAAUAUCCAUGAUCAUCCCAAACAAAUAUAAUAAAGAAUUCAU
Molecule: long non-coding RNA, 603 nt
Organism: Haliotis rufescens (red abalone)
Lineage: Eukaryota; Metazoa; Mollusca; Gastropoda; Lepetellida; Haliotidae
Exons: 3
Source: RefSeq, a predicted model, not a curated record